Molecule: ribosomal RNA, 460 nt
Filed under: uncultured bacterium
Lineage: Bacteria
Description: partial 16S ribosomal RNA
Rfam family: Bacterial small subunit ribosomal RNA
Source: RNAcentral
CCUACGGGUGGCAGCAGUGAGGAAUAUUGGUCAAUGGACGAGAGUCUGAACCAGCCAAGUAGCGUGAAGGAUGACUGCCCUAUGGGUUGUAAACUUCUUUUAUAAAGGAAUAAAACGAGGCACGUGUGCCUUUUUGCAUGUACUUUAUGAAUAAGGAUCGGCUAACUCCGUGCCAGCAGCCGCGGUAAUACGGAGGAGCCGAGCGUUAUCCGGAUUUAUUGGGUUUAAAGGGAGCGUAGAUGGGUUGUUAAGUCAGUUGUGAAAUUUUGCGGCUCAACCGUAAAAUUGCAAUUGAUACUGGCAGUCUUGAGUACAGUUGAGGUAGGCGGAAUUCGUGGUGUAGCGGUGAAAUGCUUAGAUAUCACGAAGAACCCCGAUUGCGAAGGCAGCUUACUAAACUGUGACUGACAUUGAUGCUCGAAAGUGUGGGUAUCAAACAGGAUUAGAUACCCUAGUAGUC